This 220-nucleotide unclassified non-coding RNA is filed under the name uncultured fungus. Its description in RNAcentral is "sequence contains ITS1, 5.8S rRNA gene". The stretch from base 172 to 220 matches the Rfam family "5.8S ribosomal RNA", at positions 1 to 49 of the family's 154-position model. Lineage: Eukaryota; Fungi. The record is from RNAcentral.
UUUCCGUAGGUGAACCUGCGGAAGGAUCAUUAAUGAAAUUCAAGGACGCUCUCUUUAGAGGUCCGACCAAAUUCAUUCCUUCACACUGUGCACAAACUACUUUUCUACACCAUUUUUAACACCUAAGUCUAAGAAUGUAAAUAGUCUCUUAAUUGAGCAUAAACAAAACAAAACUUUCAGCAACGGAUCUCUUGGCUCUCGCAUCGAUGAAGAACGCAGC